Ipomoea triloba (trilobed morning glory) is the source of this 226-nucleotide long non-coding RNA. RefSeq lists it as uncharacterized. The record is from RefSeq and is a predicted model, not a curated record. NCBI's taxonomy places the organism in Eukaryota, Viridiplantae, Streptophyta, Magnoliopsida, Solanales, Convolvulaceae. The transcript is spliced from 3 exons.
UGGACAAGCGAUUGAGUAUGUGGGAGAAGUACUGUUUGCGGCACUGUUUUACUGUGCCAGAAGGAUUCUCUUUGCCUAAAGCAGAUGAACCAUCUGGUGAUACUUCCGUGGAUCUUGACAGUCUUGGUGAUGCAGAGUUAGAUGCACAGUUGGAUUCUUUGAGAAAUAAACUUACUCAGGCAGGUAAAAGAGUCUGCUGACCUCAACAGAGAACUUCGAGCACUGG